This 76-nucleotide transfer RNA is filed under the name Arcticibacter sp. Its description in RNAcentral is "tRNA-Glu". It matches the Rfam family "tRNA". Rfam says of the family: Transfer RNA (tRNA) molecules are approximately 80 nucleotides in length. RNAcentral also lists the same sequence under 2 other names. Lineage: Bacteria; Pseudomonadati; Bacteroidota; Sphingobacteriia; Sphingobacteriales; Sphingobacteriaceae. The record is from RNAcentral.
GGCCCGUUCGUCUAGGGGUCUAGGACAUCUCCCUUUCACGGAGGAAACACGGGUUCGAUUCCCGUACGGGCUACCA